GGGGAGACUUGCUCCUGGAGGUUAGCGCGAACGGGUGAGUAACACGUGGGCAACCCUGCCUGUAAGACUGGGAUAACAUCGAGAAAUCGGUGCUAAUACCGGAUAAUAAAAGAACUGCAUGGUCUUUUUGAAAGAUGGUUUCGGCUAUCACUUACAGAUGGGCCCGCGGCGCAUUAGCUAGUUGGUGAGGUAACGGCUCACCAAGGCGACGAUGCGUAGCCGACCUGAGAGGGUCGAUCGGCCACACUGGGACUGAGACACGGCCCCAGACUCCUACGGGAGGCAGCAGUAGGGAAUCUUCCGCAAUGGACGAAAGUCUGACGGAGCAACGCCGCGUGAGUGAUGAAGGUUUUCGGAUCGUAAAACUCUGUUGUUAGGGAAGAACAAGUGCCGUUCGAAAGGGCGGCACCUUGACGGUACCUAACGAGAAAGCCACGGCUAACUACGUG
This 449-nucleotide ribosomal RNA is filed under the name uncultured bacterium. Its description in RNAcentral is "bacterial SSU rRNA". It matches the Rfam family "Bacterial small subunit ribosomal RNA", at positions 73 to 507 of the family's 1533-position model. The record is from RNAcentral.